AGUGAACGCUGGCGGUAGGCCUAACACAUGCAAGUCGAACGGCAGCACAGUAAGAGCUUGCUCUUACGGGUGGCGAGUGGCGGACGGGUGAGGAAUACAUCGGAAUCUACUUUUUCGUGGGGGAUAACGUAGGGAAACUUACGCUAAUACCGCAUACGACCUACGGGUGAAAGCAGGGGAUCUUCGGACCUUGCGCGUUUGAAUGAGCCGAUGUCGGAUUAGCUAGUUGGCGGGGUAAAGGCCCACCAAGGCGACGAUCCGUAGCUGGUCUGAGAGGAUGAGCAGCCACACUGGAACUGAGACACGGUCCAGACUCCUACGGGAGGCAGCAGUGGGGAAUAUUGGACAAUGGGCGCAAGCCUGAUCCAGCCAUACCGCGUGGGUGAAGAAGGCCUUCGGGUUGUAAAGCCCUUUUGUUGGGAAAGAAAAGCAGCAGGUUAAUACCCCGCUGUUCUGACGGUACCAAAAGAAUAAGCACCGGCUAACUUCGUG
Molecule: ribosomal RNA, 492 nt
Filed under: uncultured bacterium
Lineage: Bacteria
Description: partial 16S ribosomal RNA
Rfam family: Bacterial small subunit ribosomal RNA
Source: RNAcentral